ACUCCUACGGGAGGCAGCAGUGGGGAAUAUUGCACAAUGGGGAAACCCUGAUGCAGCCAUGCCGCGUGUGUGAAGAAGGCCUCGGUUGUAAAGCACUUCAGUAGGGAGGAAGGUAGUGUAGUUAACACCUGCAUUAUUUGUACGUUACCUACAGAAGAAGCACCGGCUAACUCCGUGCCAGCAGCCGCGGUAAUACGGAGGGGUGCGAGCGUUAAUCGGAAUUACUGGGCGUAAAGCGCAUGCAGGCGGCCUGUUAAGUCAGAUGUGAAAGCCCGGGGGCUUAACCUCGGAAUUGCAUUUGUAAACUGGCAGGCUAGAGUCUGUAGAGGGGGUAGGAAUUUCAGGUGUAGCGGUGAAAUGCGUAGAGAUCUGAAGGAAUACCAGU
Molecule: ribosomal RNA, 385 nt
Filed under: uncultured bacterium
Lineage: Bacteria
Description: bacterial SSU rRNA
Rfam family: Bacterial small subunit ribosomal RNA
Source: RNAcentral